AGGGUAUGCUGUUCGCAUUUAAGUGGUACGCGAGCUGGGUUUAGACGUGAGACAGUUCGGUCCCUAUCUGCCGUGGGCGCUGGAGAACUGAGGGGGGCUGCUCCUAGUACGAGAGGACCGGAGUGGACGCAUCACUGGUGUUCGGGUUGUCAUGCCAAUGGCACUGCCCGGUAGCUAAAUGCGGAAGAGAUAAGUGCUGAAAGCAUCUAAGCACGAAACUUGCCCCGAGAUGAGUUCUCCCUGAGACUUAAAGUCUCCUGAAGGAACGUUGAAGACGACGACGUUGAUAGGCCGGGUGUGUAAGCGCAGCGAUGCGUUGAGCUAACCGGUACUAAUGAACCGUGAGGCUUAACCUUACAACGCCGAAG
RNAcentral lists this ribosomal RNA (368 nucleotides) under Salmonella enterica subsp. enterica serovar Enteritidis str. 10-34587. RNAcentral describes it as "bacterial LSU rRNA". It matches the Rfam family "Bacterial large subunit ribosomal RNA", at positions 2568 to 2925 of the family's 2925-position model. Lineage: Bacteria; Pseudomonadati; Pseudomonadota; Gammaproteobacteria; Enterobacterales; Enterobacteriaceae. The record is from RNAcentral.